CCCGAGUGCUUGCACUCAAUUGGAAAGAGGAGUGGCGGACGGGUGAGUAACACGUGGGUAACCUACCCAUCAGAGGGGGAUAACACUUGGAAACAGGUGCUAAUACCGCAUAACAGUUUAUGCCGCAUGGCAUAAGAGUGAGAGGCGCUUUCGGGUGUCGCUGAUGGAUGGACCCGCGGUGCAUUAGCUAGUUGGUGAGGUAACGGCUCACCAAGGCCACGAUGCAUAGCCGACCUGAGAGGGUGAUCGGCCACACUGGGACUGAGACACGGCCCAGACUCCUACGGGAGGCAGCAGUAGGGAAUCUUCGGCAAUGGACGAAAGUCUGACCGAGCAACGCCGCGUGAGUGAAGAAGGUUUUCGGAUCGUAAAACUCUGUUGUUAGAGAAGAACAAGGACGUUAGUAACUGAACGUCCCCUGACGGUAUCUAACCAGAAAGCCACGGCUAACUACGUGCCAGCAGCCGCGGUAAUACGUAGGUGGCAAGCGUUGUCCGGAUUUAUUGGGCGUAAAGCGAGCGCAGGCGGUUUCUUAAGUCUGAUGUGAAAGCCCCCGGCUCAACCGGGGAGGGUCAUUGGAAACUGGGAGACUUGAGUGCAGAAGAGGAGAGUGGAAUUCCAUGUGUAGCGGUGAAAUGCGUAGAUAUAUGGAGGAACACCAGUGGCGAAGGCGGCUCUCUGGUCUGUAACUGACGCUGAGGCUCGAAAGCGUGGGGAGCAAACAGG
This 726-nucleotide ribosomal RNA is filed under the name uncultured Bacilli bacterium. Its description in RNAcentral is "bacterial SSU rRNA". It matches the Rfam family "Bacterial small subunit ribosomal RNA", at positions 69 to 776 of the family's 1533-position model. The record is from RNAcentral. Lineage: Bacteria; Bacillati; Bacillota; Bacilli.